Molecule: ribosomal RNA, 489 nt
Filed under: uncultured bacterium
Lineage: Bacteria
Description: partial 16S ribosomal RNA
Rfam family: Bacterial small subunit ribosomal RNA
Source: RNAcentral
ACUCAAAGGAAUAGACGGGGACCCGCACAACUGGUGGAGCGUGUGGUUUAAUUCGAGACAAAGCGAAAAACCUUACCAGGGCUUGACAUACUAGAGUUCUAUUUUCUGGAAACAGAGAAAAUCCGUAAGGAGACUAGUACAGGUGCUGCAUGGCUGUCGUCAGCUCGUGCCGUGAGGUGUUCCCUUAAGUGGGGAAACGAGCGCAACCCCUGUCUAAUGUUACAUAUUCAUUAGAGACAGCCCCGAUUCUAUCGGGGAGGAAGGAAGGGAAGACGUCAAGUCAGCAUGGUCCUUAUGCCCUGGGUUACACACACCCUACAAUGGCGAAAAACAAUGAGCCGCAAGCUAGCAAUAGCAAGCAAAUCUCUUAAAUUUCGCCUCAGUUCAGAUUGGGGGCUGCAACCCGCCCCCAUGAAGGAGGAAUCAGUAGUAAUCGCGGAUCAGCAGGCCGCGGUGAAUACGUUCUCGGGUCUUGUACACACCGCCCGU